Clostridium sp. CAG:221 is the source of this 356-nucleotide non-coding RNA. The record is from Rfam. NCBI's taxonomy places the organism in Bacteria, Bacillati, Bacillota, Clostridia, Eubacteriales, Clostridiaceae.
GGGGGCGUUUUGGCUUCGACGGGGGUAAGAUGGGUUUGAUAAGCGAGCCGAGGCAAGCAUGUCACCUCGAUAAUAAAGUAUGCAUUAAAUAUAAACGCAGAAGACAAUUUUGCAUUAGCAGCUUAAUUUAACGCUGCUCAUCAGCCCUGUGUGCCCACGCAUAGGAUUACUGGUGUCAUUAAAGUGGGGAACGAAGUUUAGCAAAGCUUUGAGCUAAAGGGGUAUUUAUGAAGCUAGGGAAUCAGGAGUUUGUUUGUGAGCGAACUGAGGACCGAAAUUUUAGUCACAAACUACGCUCGUAGAAAGUCAGACUGGUCUGCUUUCGGACAUGGGUUCGACACCCAUCGCCUCCACCA